Molecule: long non-coding RNA, 547 nt
Organism: Symphalangus syndactylus (siamang)
Lineage: Eukaryota; Metazoa; Chordata; Mammalia; Primates; Hylobatidae
Source: RefSeq, a predicted model, not a curated record
GAGCACCAUGGGACAAGCUUGAGUUGCAAAGGCAAGCUGAAAAAAAACCUCUCUUAAUUCCCCAAAUAGCAUCUCUCUGGAGAAACCAGGGCACGUUGUAGCCUCUCGUGCUGAGGACCACUGGACAGCACUCAACACUACCAAUGCUCGGAAGCCAUUCUAAACAGCACAACACCAACAAAAAGUACAAAAAUGAAAACACAAUGUGAUUUAAUAGGCUGCUAAAAGGACACUUGUUUACAGCAGAGAGCUGAAAGGCGGCAGAGUGCCACGUUGUUCCAUGCCAAUUGGAAUGAUGUGCAGAGGGGGACAGGGGUGAACGUGUCCAUGAAACAUGGUGGAAGUGAUGCAAGGGCAUUGUUUCCGGGGUUAUAAAUAAUACUGAUGGGGGCAGAACAUCAGGCCUACAACUACUACGACAUGUUGUGUGUCCUGAGGAAAGAAGGUAUCUCUCAUCUGCUACCAUACUAAUGAACAGAAGGACAUUCCAGGAACAUUCUGCUAGUAUCUUCUCUAGUUUGGUGAAGAAAAACAGAAUACUAUCUGA